GAUGAACGCUGGCGGCGUGCCUAAUACAUGCAAGUCGAGCGAACAGACGAGGAGCUUGCUCCUCUGACGUUAGCGGCGGACGGGUGAGUAACACGUGGAUAACCUACCUAUAAGACUGGGAUAACUUCGGGAAACCGGAGCUAAUACCGGAUAAUAUAUUGAACCGCAUGGUUCAAUAGUGAAAGACGGUUUUGCUGUCACUUAUAGAUGGAUCCGCGCCGCAUUAGCUAGUUUGUAAGGUAACGGCUUACCAAGGCAACGAUGCGUAGCCGACCUGAGAGGGUGAUCGGCCACACUGGAACUGAGACACGGUCCAGACUCCUGCGGGAGGCAGCAGUAGGGAAUCUUCCGCAAUGGGCGAAAGCUUGACGGAGCAACGCCGCGUGAGUGAUGAAGGUCUUCGGAUCGUAAAACUCUGUUAUUAGGGAAGAACAAAUGUGUAAGUAACUAUGCACGUCUUGACGGUACCUAAUCAGAAAGCCACGGCUAACUACGUG
RNAcentral lists this ribosomal RNA (497 nucleotides) under uncultured bacterium. RNAcentral's name for it is "partial 16S ribosomal RNA". It matches the Rfam family "Bacterial small subunit ribosomal RNA", at positions 28 to 507 of the family's 1533-position model. The record is from RNAcentral.